This 497-nucleotide ribosomal RNA is filed under the name uncultured bacterium. RNAcentral's name for it is "partial 16S ribosomal RNA". It matches the Rfam family "Bacterial small subunit ribosomal RNA", at positions 28 to 507 of the family's 1533-position model. The record is from RNAcentral.
GAUGAACGCUGGCGGCGUGCCUAAUACAUGCAAGUCGAGCGAACGGACGAGAAGCUUGCUUCUCUGAUGUUAGCGGCGGACGGGUGAGUAACUCGUGGAUAACCUACCUAUAAGACUGGGAUAACUUCGGGAAACCGUAGCUAAUACCGGAUAAUAUUUUGAACCGCAUGGUUCAAAAGUGAAAGACGGUCUUGCUGUCACUUAUAGAUGGAUCCGCGCUGCAUUAGCUAGUUGGUAAGGUAACGGCUUACCAAGGCAACGAUGCAUAGCCGACCUGAGAGGGUGUUCGGCCACACUGGAACUGAGACACGGUCCAGACUCCUACGGGAGGCAGCAGUAGGGAAUCUUCCGCAAUGGGCGAAAGCCUGACGGAGCAACGCCGCGUGAGUGAUGAAGGUCUUCGGAUCGUAAAACUCUGUUAUUAGGGAAGAACAUAUGUGUAAGUAACUGUGCACAUCUUGACGGUACCUAAUCAGAAAGCCACGGCUAACUACGUG